GAGAGCAUAAACAGGUCAGCUGUUGCUAUGUUUCUGAUACUUCUGCCCAAGCUUGCAACUCUUUCCAAAGUCAUUAUGAUUUAAAAUGCAAAUUCUGAAAGGGUAUACAGAUUUUCUAGUACUUUCAUUAGCAAACAUGAGUUUCAAAGUAUUAGCAGUGUCAUUACAGUGAAUGAUAUUUGUAAAAUUGGAAAAUCAUUUAGUUUGGAAGGGAUCUCUAGACCUUGUCUGAAACAGCAUCCUGCUCAAAGCAGGGCCUGCUAGAGCGGAUAACUACAGGUAAUUCCCUACCUGUGCAAAGAUUACCUUAAACCAUCACACUGGAACUUGUAUUCAGGUGUUAUCUGCCAUGAACCUUGAUCCCUUUUCUGUGUCACCUCUUGCCAGGUAAGCAAGUGGCACUAAAAAAAACAAUGGUUUAGCUUUGUUGACAUUUCAUGUGCAUUUUCCAGUCUUCCCAACAGAUCCCCAGUGCAUAAAAUGGCAUGAACUCCAAUGCAUUACUAAAUGUACUAUUAGGAAUUCCUUUGACAUGAAGGAAUCCUGCGGUGUGCCAAAGGCAACUUUGUUUCUCUCCUUGCUGUCCCUGCCACAGGGACUUGUCAAGAUUAUUUUUGGGAAUGAAACUAGGAGUGUCAUUCACUCCAUGAUCAGUGGUGGUUUGCAAGAUCUGCAAUUUUGCUGCUUUUAUUGAAGACUUCUAGCUUGUUCUGGGGCUUGCUUUGACCUCAGGUAGCUUCUGGAAGAAGGGGAAGCCACUGGUUGCUGCCUCCCAGGGGGUGCCUGGAACAAUGCCAGGAAGUCUCCUUAACCGAGUCAUUUGUACACCUUUAGAUCCCCUUUAAUCCAGGCUUAGUAGACUGAAGAAUUCAACCUGACAAAUACUGCUGUGACAGUAGGUCAUGGAGAGAGCCCUGCUGUCAGGCUACGGGGGCUGCAAGGAAAAAUUGUUUGAACUUAAAAAUAUACAGUUGCCUGCAUCUCAGGUGAAGUGUUCUCAAAACCAGCUACUGAGCAUUUUGUACUGCUGGGAGGAUGUAAGACUUCUUGGAUAGAAACCAUAAGUAGGAGCGAAAAGGUCACAUUUCUACUUGUGUUUGAAAAGUCCUCUUAUGAAAGGAAUCUACACAUUCUUCUAGGGAUCCAGAGACAGUAGGAAACAUUUCUUACUAUUUACCUUGCCAGUUAUGAGGGGGGAGACAUAAAUUCCUGGGCUAACCACUUUUUUGACAUAUAGAAGAACAUUGUCCUAUUUAGAGUUCAAAUAAGGUUUUAGUUAAGCUCAUUUCUGUUAGUGUACUUCUGUGCUACCGUCUUCAGCAGGUUAUGCUUGAGCCAGAUUUUUUUCCAUUUUUUCUUUUUUAAGGCUUUCACUGUUUCUAUUUUUGAAAAUAAAGUUGUGAAAACUAUGUCAAUGUCAAAUACUGGGUAAAAACUGCUAGAGGUGACAGGAUCAGAAUGUGGUUUUACAGGCUUGUAUAAUUUUUGAAAGUGAUUAAAAAGCAAGAAUAGAAAUUCCUUACGUGAUAAGUUAAUACUUUAAAAAAGUAGGUUUUCUUUGUUCAGCAUAGAUCCUUGAAGGUCUUAAGCAAUCCCACCAGAAACCCGGUUUUAUUAGCAUUUUAAAAGAAAUAGUUGUGGAAAAGAUUAUUAAAAAUUUGUUUGAGGAACUUUGGAACAUUGCUUUACUUUACUCAUCCACAGUAUCAUCUCACCUUUUAAAAGGAGAAUUUUGCCAAAAUUGGCUGAAUUUUAUGAUAGCAAUGGUCUCAUGUGGUCAGCUGCAAGCUGAUGGCUAUUGGUACUGUUAAAAUACUUAACAUGCAGCAUUAAGUCAUUACUCUUCUGUAAUAUGUAGACCUAUCUAGGAAUUUGUUAACAGUCCUGGUCUUAAACCCUGGAUUUGACAAUCAGAGUCUUUUGGUCUCUGUUAUGACAAGUGAAACUACCAUUUUCAUUUUCAGCAAAAUGGGAUUUUAUUUACAGCAAUAGUAGGUCCUCUCACAUUACAUUACUUUGUGCUGACUUUCCCUAGUACUAACUUCUGCGCUAUCUGCUGACUGCCAACAUAUUAAAGGGCAAUAGCAGCAAGCACUCACAGAGCCCUCAGUGUACAUGGAGGGACCGAGGAAAUCUUUACAGUUGAGUAGUUCUUCAGGAUGGUAUUUCUGCUAGCUGGACCAUCAAUUUAUUUUCAAAAUGUACCAUCUAAGAAAAAUUUACUGUUUUAAAAGUGUAUUGAAAGUGACAUCAUCUCACUUAAAAAUAUUAAUUGUGGGGAGAAGCAAGAGAUUUUGAGCAGCUGAACCACCUUACUUCAAAAUCCCCAUAAUUACAUUUUCAGCAAUAAGAAAUAUUCCUGUAAAUGAAUGCUUUGUCCUAUCUCUGAGUAAUUUUCAAUGUUGCUUGUGUCACAUAUCAGAAAGGCUUACUCAUCAGAAUUAUGCACCAUUUAAAAUGCUGAGGAAGCACUACUGAGUUUUGCAGCACUUCCCAGCCAGGCUGCAUUUAGAUCUGGGUUUAUCCCUUUUAAUGCCAGGCCUGGACCUAUUUCUUCAGCCUCAGGAAGUACGUAUUGGAGGACUUAAAUUAGAAAACAAGAAAGAGAUUUAAAGGGCUUAUGUUUCAAAGAAAUAAAUUGAAAAUUGUGUAUCCAUAUCAAGGUAGCACUCUAUCUGUAGUACUAACAGUCAAGGAAUCUGAAUGAAAUGGAGUGAAAAUGCUCAAUUAGAUUACAGCAUAAAAAUAAACAGACACUCUGAACUGAAUUAAACUACUGACAUUUAUCUGAAAAUGUAAAGGGCUUUAAAAAUAGUAUAUACAUUAAUGAAAUGCCCUAAGAUGAUCAUGCUUAAAUCCCCUCAACCCCUCCCCCCCGAUUUAUAUACUUCUGGAAGAUUUAUUAAAAAUGCACUUACAAAACAAGAUUGAAGAAGAUGACUGUGGUAUUUUUGAAAACUAUCAAGAACCAAGGUGAAAUCUCACCUGGCACAGGAGAAUGUAUAGCAGUCAUUUGACGGAUUACAUUUAUUUAAAUGAUAAACUAGAGUAUUACUGACUUAACCUUUCAAGUUUCUGUUGCAUCUUGUAACUUUGGAAGUGAAAAAAAUCAGUAGUGAUUUUCUUAUUGAUUUACUCAGAAAUAUGAAAGCUAUAUUAAGGUCUUGAUUUUUCUGAGAUUUAUGAAAGCUGAAGUAGAGAAUCUUGUUUUCAGAGUAUUCUCACUUUAACUAUAAGAGUAAAUGAAAGAGAACAUAGUAACCACUCAGUGAAAAAAAAAAAUCAAACCAAAAAGAAUGCGUACUUCCCUUAGGACUCCUUACUCCUAAGGGAAUGCACCGCACAAUAGAACACAGAGUGAUCUGACAGUAGGUUGAUGUUUUUUUUCUGGAUAGGCUUGUGCCCUGUUUUAUACAUGUAUUGAUAUUUUUUUAAAUCUGGCCCUAAGCAAUUUGUUGAUUCUACGUAGCAAUUUAAUGGCAAGACUAAUAACAUGCUUCUGUACCGUGACCGGUGAUUGUAACUCCCGCAGAGUGCUCUUGAAAGAAAUUUUAAAAGCCUGAGGCAGAUAUCAGCAAUUCAUGUGACAUGCAAAGGUGUAGCAAAUGCCAGAGAAUGUGGUUACCUCCCCUGAGAAAGGGUUUUGUGGCAGCUGACAGAAGAGUUAAUUUUUUUAAUUGUUUGUCCACAGUGGGUUGCAUAUUGCAAUGUAAGAUGGGGAAACCAUGUAAGUGUCUGGUCAAGAGUCCUUCCUAUAGCUGUAUUCUAGAUGUAGGUUUGCCUCAGCCCUGCUGGGGAUUACUUGCCACUCAUUUCUUGCAUUUUAUUGUGUUAAUGGACCAUAUACAUGCGCGAUGGGAGAAAUUUAGAUCCUGGUGGAGUUAACAGCAAACAUACCACUGACUAAACAGGAAACUUAGUUGAACCCAGUGAAGACUAAAAGGACAUAGAUGGAUUCUUGUGGGGUGUUUCUCAGCAAAAAAAUUACCUGCCCUGCAGCUGGCAAGCCUCUGAAAAAAGGCAACCAUUAGCUAUCCCAUCAACUCUAAGUAUUCCAGGUAAUGUAUCUAACUGGAACUAGAAAUUUACUGUUACUUUUCUUUUUCAAGCAAAGCUGAAAUGACGCUUUCAGAAAAGUGAAAAUAAAUGUUCUUUUUGUAAGGCAAAAAGCAAAAUCAACUUGUCAGCUUUCCAAAUGCAAUCUGUGUGAUUAAUGUGUCUCGAAAUACAGACAUUUCUAUAAAAUAUUAAUUACUUCACUUCUGGACUGUAUUGAAUUACAUUUAGCAGGGUUUUUUAAAAUCCAUGUAUUUUAGUAAAUAAUGUUUAUUAAAUCUUUUGAUAAUAGAAACCACUUCCUAUGUAUAAUUUUACUCUUUUUGUUAAAAAGUCUAUCUUGGUUGCCAGGUACAACAGAAGUCCAAGGAGCUUUCCUAGGAGCAGAGAUGACUUUUGUGAGCAAGAAUCUGAGGAAUGUGCAUAUUUUUCCUUACAGCUAUAGUGCCCAAAAUUUCAGACAUGUGAAUGUUGAAGAGUGGCUGAUUUAUUUUUUUUUUUUAAAAGAAUAUUUUGCUUUUUUAACAAGAUAGCAUCAUUGCCACUUUUCUAAUUUAAAUGACUUACAUAGACAAAUCUAUAUGAAAGUUAUGAAUACAGCUCAAAUGCUUGAUUUACCUCAAAAUAUCCAGAAUGACUGGAAUGUGUUUAAUUAAUUUUUUUCAAUUUUUUUUUUUUCUAAAA
Long non-coding RNA from Pezoporus occidentalis (night parrot), 4740 nucleotides. RefSeq lists it as uncharacterized. The record is from RefSeq and is a predicted model, not a curated record. NCBI's taxonomy places the organism in Eukaryota, Metazoa, Chordata, Aves, Psittaciformes, Psittacidae. The transcript has 2 exons.